GGCCAUUUUUCAUAACGCCGCGGAUCCGCUUUUGUGCCUCUGAGGCGACUAAACAGAUGAAUAACGAGCAAAGUCUCUCGAAACUAGUUUGAAAAUUGGUUUCUGGCAAGAGGAAAGAAAAGCCUGCAGCACUGAAGGAAGAAUCAAAGUGUUAAAAGGACGCUCAAAAUAUAGUACUGUGGCAGGCCGGGGGGGCGGAGGGCCCAGUGCCGUAGCUCUCUCAACCCUGGCAUUGCAUGCAGGUGAAAUUCAUUUUAGGAUGAUUUUAAG
RNAcentral lists this long non-coding RNA (270 nucleotides) under Sus scrofa (pig). RNAcentral describes it as "lncRNA (ENSSSCG00060065652.1)". Lineage: Eukaryota; Metazoa; Chordata; Mammalia; Artiodactyla; Suidae. The record is from RNAcentral.